AGAAUCAACGCUGGCGGCGUGCCUAACACAUGCAAGUCGAACGAGAAAGGGACUUCGGUCCUGAGUACAGUGGCGCACGGGUGAGUAACACGUGACUAACCUACCCUUGAGUGGGGGAUAACCUAGGGAAACCUGGGCUAAUACCGCAUAAUACCUACGGGUCAAAGGAGCAAUUCGCUUAAGGAGGGGUCGCGGCAGAUUAGUUAGUUGGCGGGGUAAUGGCCCACCAAGACAGUGAUCUGUA
This 244-nucleotide ribosomal RNA is filed under the name uncultured bacterium. RNAcentral describes it as "partial small subunit ribosomal RNA". It matches the Rfam family "Bacterial small subunit ribosomal RNA", at positions 26 to 285 of the family's 1533-position model. The record is from RNAcentral.